RNAcentral lists this unclassified non-coding RNA (1365 nucleotides) under uncultured Neocallimastigales. Its description in RNAcentral is "partial contains small subunit ribosomal RNA, internal transcribed spacer 1, 5.8S ribosomal RNA, internal transcribed spacer 2, and large subunit ribosomal RNA". The stretch from base 610 to 1365 matches the Rfam family "Eukaryotic large subunit ribosomal RNA", at positions 1 to 611 of the family's 3401-position model. Lineage: Eukaryota; Fungi; Neocallimastigomycota; Neocallimastigomycetes; Neocallimastigales. The record is from RNAcentral.
UUUCCGUAGGUGAACCUGCGGAAGGAUCAUUAAAAAAUGUGGUACCGAUUGUUGGUACUAAUUAAUCAUCCUACCCUUUGUGAAUUUGUUUGUAACGAAUUUUUUUAAAUGGGUCUUUCCCUAAGUUGGAUUGUAGUAAAAAUACAAAAAAGACUUAGGGGAAUGACUUUUUUAAAAGACUUUUUUUUAAAUUAAAACUUUUGUAUUCAUUUGUCUAAAAUUUAUUUUUAUAAUAUAAAAACAACUUUUGACAAUGGAUCUCUUGGUUCUCGCAACGAUGAAGAACGCAGCAAAAUGCGAUAAGUAGUGUGAAUUGCAGAAUACGUGAAUCAUCGAAUCUUCGAACGCAUAUUGGCACUUUUUUAGUUUACUAAAAAAGUAUGUCUGUUUGAGUAUCAGUAAAAUAUUCUCACAAAACAAUUUGUUUUGUGGUAUGAGUGUUUUACAAACGAUAAACAAGUUGUUUCACUUUAAAUUCUUUUGUAAUUGAUUUAUACCAAUUCAUAAAUUAAAAUUGGAUAAAAUUUUCCUUUAACGAGGAAUAACCUAAACAAUUUUAAAAUUUUAUGGGUUAUAAACAUCAUAAAGGAAUCUAUACAACAAAUAACUUGAUCUCAAAUCAGAUAAGAGUACCCGCUGAACUUAAGCAUAUCAAUAAGCGGAGGAAAAGAAACUAACAAGGAUUCCCUUAGUAACGGCGAGUGAAGCGGGAAGAGCUCAAAUUUGAAAUCUUCAAGGUUUGACCUUGACGAAUUGUAGUUUAUAGAAGUGUUUUCUGUUGGAGUUUUGGUAAAAAGUUCUUGGAAUAGGACAUCAUAGAGGGUGAGAAUCCGUAUUUGACCAUGACUUUCCAGCUGUGUGAUACACUUUCAAAGAGUCGGAUUGUUUGGGAAUGCAGUCCAAAAUGGGUGGUAAAUUUCAUCUAAAGCUAAAUAUUGGCGAGAGACCGAUAGCGAACAAGUACCGUGAGGGAAAGAUGAAAAGAACUUUGAAAAGAGAGUUAAACAGUACGUGAAAUUGUCAAAAGGGAAGCGUUUGACACCAGUGUUGUUUUCUCGAAAAUCAAUUUAAUGAGUUCUUGUUUUUAAGUUAUUGUGACUUUAUCAGCGCAUUCUUAUUUUACUUGACUCAUUGAAUGCACUUUCGUUUAACAAGUCAACAUCAAUUUCUUUGGUGGUAAAAAGUUUAAAGGAAGGUGGCUUGGACUUCGGUUCAAGUGUUUAUAGCCUUUUUCUAUGCCAUCGGAGAGAUUGAGGUCUGCAGCGUAGAUCCUUCGGGGUUAGAUACCUUUGUGCUAAGUUAUAGUUUUUUAUAGACAACUUGUUGACUAUAAUUAACCCUGUAAUUUACUCGCUUAGGCUAUUU